RNAcentral lists this ribosomal RNA (440 nucleotides) under uncultured bacterium. RNAcentral's name for it is "partial 16S ribosomal RNA". It matches the Rfam family "Bacterial small subunit ribosomal RNA", at positions 338 to 795 of the family's 1533-position model. The record is from RNAcentral.
CCUACGGGUGGCUGCAGUGGGGGAUAUUGCACAAUGGGGGAGACCCUGAUGCAGCGACGCCGCGUGAGUGAAGAAGUAUUUCGGUAUGUAAAGCUCUAUCAGCAGGGAAGAAAAUGACAGUACUUGACCACGAAGCCCCGGCUAACUAAGUGCCAGCAGCCGCGGUCAUACGUAGGGGGCCAGCGUUAUCCGGAUUUACUGGGUGUAAAGGGUGCGUAGACGGUUAGGUAAGCCUGGAGUGAAAGACCGGGGACCAACCCCGGGACUGCGUUGGAAACUGGGUGACUUGAGUACAGGAGGGGUAGGCGGAAUUCCUGGUGUAGCGGUGAAAUGCGUAGAUAUCAGGAGGAACACCGGUGGCGAAGGCGGCCUGCUGGACUGUAACUGACGUUGAGGCUCGAAAGCGUGGGGAGCAAACAGGAUUAGAUACCCCUGUAGUC